GAUGAACGCUAGCUACAGGCCUAACACAUGCAAGUCGCGGGGCAGCAUGGGGCGUGCUUGCAACCCCUGACGCCGACCCGCGCACGGGUGACUACCGCGUAUCCACCCUGCCCUUCACCACGGGAUAAUCCGGCGAAAGUCCGACUAAUAACGUGAGUUCUCCAUUUACUGCUUCCGACUGCGACGGAGAGCUUUGCGCAUGCAGCCUGGGGAUGCGUUCGAUUAGCUUGACGGCGCGGUAACGGCACACCGUGGCUACGAUCGGUAGGGGUUCUGAGAGGAAGGUCCCCCACACUGGAACUGAGACACGGACCAGACUCCUACGGGAGGCAGCAGUGAGGAAUAUUGGUCAAUGGGCGGAAGACUGAACCAGCCAAGUAGCGUGCAGGAUGACGGCCCUAUGGGUUGUAAACUGCUUUUAUGUGGGGAGAAAGUGGCGUACGUGUAGGCUGUUGCAGGUACCACAUGAAUAAGCACCGGCUAAUUCCGUG
RNAcentral lists this ribosomal RNA (491 nucleotides) under uncultured bacterium. RNAcentral describes it as "partial 16S ribosomal RNA". It matches the Rfam family "Bacterial small subunit ribosomal RNA", at positions 28 to 507 of the family's 1533-position model. The record is from RNAcentral.